Molecule: ribosomal RNA, 274 nt
Filed under: uncultured bacterium
Lineage: Bacteria
Description: partial 16S ribosomal RNA
Rfam family: Bacterial small subunit ribosomal RNA
Source: RNAcentral
CUACAGAGGGCUCAAGCGUUAAUCAGAAUCACUGGGCUUAAAGGGUGCGUAGGCGGACUCGUCAGUGUCUUGUGAAAUCCCACGGCUCAACCGUGGAACUGCAGGGCAUACUGCGAGUCUUGAACUCGGCAGGGGCAACCGGAACUCUAGGUGGAGCGGUGAAAUGCGUAGAUAUCUAGAGGAACGCCAAAGGCGAAGGCAGGUUGCUGGGCCGAUGUUGACGCUCAGGCACGAAAGCGUGGGGAGCGAACGGGAUUAGAUACCCUUGUAGUCC